Molecule: long non-coding RNA, 1015 nt
Filed under: Nicotiana benthamiana
Lineage: Eukaryota; Viridiplantae; Streptophyta; Magnoliopsida; Solanales; Solanaceae
Description: long non-coding RNA (NBEN_LNC005091)
Source: RNAcentral
AGCCACCAACUACAUCAUUUAUGAGUACAAUGAUAAAAGCAUUUUUCAGUUCUAACCUCUUCUUUCGCCAUUAUUUUUUUUUUUUUGCUUUUUUGCUUUUUUCCCUUUUCUCUUUUAGCACAGCAGGUUCUUCGUUAUAUAUGCAUGACCAAUAUUUAGCUUCUUCACCUCAAGUAAAAUGUGUUAAAAUUCACAAAGAAAGCACCAACCAGAAGUAACAAGAUGGUAUAACAGUUCUCUUUCUUUCAUUAGCGAAAAAUAAAUAACUAUAUAUAAAGGAAUAAAAACGGAAGAACAAAAAGAAAAGGACUUGAUAUAAAUAAAAAAAAAUGCCUGGCUCCAUCCUGUUUGCCGUUUAACCACGCAAAUGAGAAUUUCUUUUUUUUUCACAUAGAGACACCUACAUUGUCCUCCUCCAUCUUCAGCUUCAAUCUGUGAAAGUCAGAAACAACCUUGGAUUUACAAAGCAACGUUGGUCAAACGGUACUACCUCUUUCUUCAACAACAUAAGGGCAGUUUCGCCAUUCCACAUCUUCUUCUUCUUCCUUCUUGCAAUCCCAGAAACUCCCAUUUUCAUCUCAACAAAUGCCCAAAUGCAACAGAGAGAAAAAAAUAAAAAAAAAGGGUAUUUUUAGCUUUAGUAAUUUAGCUACACCACCCCCAACCAAACACCACUACGACUACUACUAGUAAUAGUACCAGUACUAGUAUAUUCUGAAACUGUCUGUGUUUUCUGAAGGUCUAGAGAGAGAAAUUUUCAUUAGAGGAGUGUUUUUUUUUCUUGAUUGGUAAUGUCAAAAUAAAAAUGUUUAGAGGUUAUUGAAUUUGCAGGGGUUAGGGGGGUAUUGGGAUUUGGGAAUUUGGGUAGAUGUGUUUGGGCCUAUUAUUAUUUGGAUUUAGAAUUCAUGGGUGAGCCGGUGAAAGGCCAUUUUUCAACUUUCUCUUUGUUCCUACUUCUGCUACGACUUUCCCAUUUGUCUUCCACCUUUACCUUUACCUUUUCUCUUUAUUUGUC